GGUCAAGUGAAGAAGCGCAUACGGUGGAUGCCUUGGCAGUCAGAGGCGAUGAAAGACGUGGUAGCCUGCGAAAAGCUUCGGGGAGUCGGCAAACAGACUGUGAUCCGGAGAUGUCUGAAUGGGGGAACCCAGCCAUCACAAGAUGGUUAUCUUACACUGAAUACAUAGGUGUAAGAGGCGAACCAGGGGAACUGAAACAUCUAAGUACCCUGAGGAAAAGAAAUCAACCGAGAUUCCCUUAGUAGUGGCGAGCGAACGGGGACCAGCCCUUAAGUUGUAUUGAGAUUAGCGGAACGCUCUGGAAAGUGCGGCCAUAGUGGGUGAUAGCCCUGUACGCGAAAAUCCCUUUGCAAUGAAAUCGAGUAGGACGGGGCACGAGAAACCUUGUCUGAAUAUGGGGGGACCAUCCUCCAAGGCUAAAUACUACUGACUGACCGAUAGUGAACCAGUACCGUGAGGGAAAGGCGAAAAGAACCGCGGAGAGCGGAGUGAAAUAGAUCCUGAAACCGUAUGCGUACAAGCAGUGGGAGCCCACUUUGUUGGGUGACUGCGUACCUUUUGUAUAAUGGGUCAGCGACUUAUUUUCAGUGGCGAGCUUAACCGAAUAGGGGAGGCGUAGCGAAAGCGAGUCUUAAUAGGGCGUCUAGUCGCUGGGAAUAGACCCGAAACCGGGCGAUCUAUCCAUGGGCAGGUUGAAGGUUGGGUAACACUAACUGGAGGACCGAACCGACUACCGUUGAAAAGUUAGCGGAUGACCUGUGGAUCGGAGUGAAAGGCUAAUCAAGCUCGGAGAUAGCUGGUUCUCCUCGAAAGCUAUUUAGGUAGCGCCUCAUGUAUCACUGUAGGGGGUAGAGCACUGUUUCGGCUAGGGGGUCAUCCCGACUUACCAAACCGAUGCAAACUCCGAAUACCUACAAGUGCCGAGCAUGGGAGACACACGGCGGGUGCUAACGUCCGUCGUGAAAAGGGAAACAACCCAGACCGUCAGCUAAGGUCCCAAAGUCAUGGUUAAGUGGGAAACGAUGUGGGAAGGCUUAGACAGCUAGGAGGUUGGCUUAGAAGCAGCCACCCUUUAAAGAAAGCGUAAUAGCUCACUAGUCGAGUCGGCCUGCGCGGAAGAUGUAACGGGGCUCAAACCAUGCACCGAAGCUACGGGUAUCACCUUUGGUGAUGCGGUAGAGGAGCGUUCUGUAAGCCUGUGAAGGUGAGUUGAGAAGCUUGCUGGAGGUAUCAGAAGUGCGAAUGCUGACAUGAGUAACGACAAUGGGUGUGAAAAACACCCACGCCGAAAGACCAAGGUUUCCUGCGCAACGUUAAUCGACGCAGGGUUAGUCGGUCCCUAAGGCGAGGCUGAAAAGCGUAGUCGAUGGAAAACAGGUUAAUAUUCCUGUACUUCUGGUUAUUGCGAUGGAGGGACGGAGAAGGCUAGGCCAGCCUGGCGUUGGUAGUCCAGGUUUAAGGUGGUAGGCUGAGAUCUUAGGUAAAUCCGGGAUCUUAAGGCCGAGAGCUGAUGACGAGUGUUCUUUUAGAACAUGAAGUGGUUGAUGCCAUGCUUCCAAGAAAAGCUUCUAAGCUUCAGGUAACCAGGAACCGUACCCCAAACCGACACAGGUGGUUGGGUAGAGAAUACCAAGGCGCUUGAGAGAACUCGGGUGAAGGAACUAGGCAAAAUGGCACCGUAACUUCGGGAGAAGGUGCGCCGGUGAGGGUGAAGCAUUUACUGCGUAAGCCCACGCCGGUCGAAGAUACCAGGCCGCUGCGACUGUUUAUUAAAAACACAGCACUCUGCAAACACGAAAGUGGACGUAUAGGGUGUGACGCCUGCCCGGUGCCGGAAGGUUAAUUGAUGGGGUUAGCGCAAGCGAAGCUCUUGAUCGAAGCCCCGGUAAACGGCGGCCGUAACUAUAACGGUCCUAAGGUAGCGAGAUUCCUUGUCGGGUAAGUUCCGACCUGCACGAAUGGCGUAACGAUGGCGGCGCUGUCUCCACCCGAGACUCAGUGAAAUUGAAAUCGCUGUGAAGAUGCAGUGUAUCCGCGGCUAGACGGAAAGACCCCGUGAACCUUUACUAUAGCUUUGCACUGGACUUUGAAUUUGCUUGUGUAGGAUAGGUGGGAGGCUUUGAAGCGUGGACGCCAGUCUGCGUGGAGCCAACCUUGAAAUACCACCCUGGCAACUUUGAGGUUCUAACUCAGGUCCGUUAUCCGGAUCGAGGACAGUGUAUGGUGGGUAGUUUGACUGGGGCGGUCUCCUCCUAAAGAGUAACGGAGGAGUACGAAGGUGCGCUCAGACCGGUCGGAAAUCGGUCGUAGAGUAUAAAGGCAAAAGCGCGCUUGACUGCGAGACAGACACGUCGAGCAGGUACGAAAGUAGGUCUUAGUGAUCCGGUGGUUCUGUAUGGAAGGGCCAUCGCUCAACGGAUAAAAGGUACUCCGGGGAUAACAGGCUGAUACCGCCCAAGAGUUCAUAUCGACGGCGGUGUUUGGCACCUCGAUGUCGGCUCAUCACAUCCUGGGGCUGAAGCCGGUCCCAAGGGUAUGGCUGUUCGCCAUUUAAAGUGGUACGCGAGCUGGGUUUAGAACGUCGUGAGACAGUUCGGUCCCUAUCUGCCGUGGACGUUUGAGAUUUGAGAGGGGCUGCUCCUAGUACGAGAGGACCGGAGUGGACGAACCUCUGGUGUUCCGGUUGUCACGCCAGUGGCAUUGCCGGGUAGCUAUGUUCGGAAAAGAUAACCGCUGAAAGCAUCUAAGCGGGAAACUUGCCUCAAGAUGAGAUCUCACUGGAACCUAGAGUUCCCUGAAGGGCCGUCGAAGACUACGACGUUGAUAGGUUGGGUGUGUAAGCGCUGUGAGGCGUUGAGCUAACCAAUACUAAUUGCCCGUGAGGCUUGACCAU
This 2893-nucleotide ribosomal RNA is filed under the name Pseudomonas syringae pv. actinidiae. RNAcentral describes it as "23S ribosomal RNA". It matches the Rfam family "Bacterial large subunit ribosomal RNA". The record is from RNAcentral. Lineage: Bacteria; Pseudomonadati; Pseudomonadota; Gammaproteobacteria; Pseudomonadales; Pseudomonadaceae.